GAGGGCAAAAAUUGAAAAAGAAAAUCAAAACAGAGACGUAAUAGCUAAUCUUUGUUUUUGGAAGGGAUUAGAAAUCGGCGCUGAAGCAGAGAAAAUGCCGAAUCCGUCCGCAACGUAAUAAGCCUGUAUUACGGCAAUACAGCGAACCAAACGCUGUAUUCAGUGGGGCCACCGAUUCGGGGUGUAAUGGAUUAGCCAUUACACCCAACCAAAC
Molecule: long non-coding RNA, 214 nt
Filed under: Gossypium barbadense (sea-island cotton)
Lineage: Eukaryota; Viridiplantae; Streptophyta; Magnoliopsida; Malvales; Malvaceae
Description: long non-coding RNA (GBAR_LNC009799)
Source: RNAcentral